Molecule: ribosomal RNA, 779 nt
Filed under: uncultured Neocallimastigales
Lineage: Eukaryota; Fungi; Neocallimastigomycota; Neocallimastigomycetes; Neocallimastigales
Description: partial large subunit ribosomal RNA
Rfam family: Eukaryotic large subunit ribosomal RNA
Source: RNAcentral
UAUCUCUGUAGAGUCUGCAUAUCAAUAAGCGGAGGAAAAGAAACUAACUAGGAUUCCCUCAGUAACGGCGAGUGAAGCGGGAAGAGCUCAAAUUUGAAAUCUUCAAGGUUCUACCUUGACGAAUUGUAGUUUAAAGAAGGUGUUUUCUGUUGGAUGUUUUGGUAAAAGUUCUUUGGAAUAGGACAUCAUAGAGGGUGAGAAUCCCGUAUUUGACCAUUACUUCCAGCGUUGUGAUACACUUUCAAAGAGUCGGAUUGUUUGGGAAUGCAGUCCAAAAUGGGUGGUAAAUUUCAUCUAAAGCUAAAUAUUGGCGAGAGACCGAUAGCGAACAAGUACCGUGAGGGAAAGAUGAAAAGAACUUUGAAAAGAGAGUUAAACAGUACGUGAAAUUGUCAAAAGGGAAGCGUUUGACACCAGUGUUGUUUUCUCGAAAAUCAAUUAAAAAAGGCUAGGAUUUUGUAUUGUAAUUGACUUUAUCAGCUUACUGCUACUCUUUUCUUGCUUUUUUUAAUGCACUUUUCGUUUAACAAGUCAACAUCAAUUUCUUUUGUUGUAAAAGAGUCAUUGGAAGGUGGCUUUCACUUCGGUGAAAGUGUUUAUAGCCUUUGGCUUCUGCAAUCGGAGAGAUUGAGGUCUGCAGCGUAGAUCCUUCGGGGCUAGAUACGUAGAUGCUAAGUUAUAGUUUUUUAUAGACAACUUGUUGACUAUAAUUAAUCAUGUAGCUUACUCGUUUGCGCUAUUUUACCUACGCUUAGGAUGUUGACGAUCAGCUGAGCGCG